This 406-nucleotide ribosomal RNA is filed under the name uncultured bacterium. RNAcentral describes it as "partial 16S ribosomal RNA". It matches the Rfam family "Bacterial small subunit ribosomal RNA", at positions 30 to 526 of the family's 1533-position model. The record is from RNAcentral.
AUUGAACGCUGGCGGCAGGCUUAACACAUGCAAGUCGAACGAGUGGCGGACGGGUGAGUAAUGCUUGGGAAUCUAGCUUAUGGAGGGGGAUAACUACGGGAAACUGUAGCUAAUACCGCGUACCAUAGGAUGAGCCCAAGUGGGAUUAGCUAGUUGGUGGGGUAAUGGCUCACCAAGGCGACGAUCUCUAGCUGGUUUGAGAGGAUGAUCAGCCCAACUGGGACUGGGACCCGGGCCCGACUCCUUCGGGAGGGAGCAGUGGGGAAUUUUUGAAAAAGGGGCAAAGCCUGAUCCAGCAAUACCGGGUGUGUGAAGAAGGCCCUAGGGUUGUAAAGCACUUUUGUUAGGGAGAUGUUUCCUAAAGAAUAAGCACCGGCUAACUCCGUGCCAGCAGCCGCGGUAAUAC